GAUGAACGCUGCGGCAUGCCUUACACAUGCAAGUCGAACGGCAGCGGGGGAGAAGCUUGCUUUUCCUGCCGGCGAGUGGCGAACGGGUGAGUAAUACAUCGGAACGUGCCCUGUAGUGGGGGAUAACUAGUCGAAAGAUUAGCUAAUACCGCAUACGACCUGAGGGUGAAAGUGGGGGACCGCAAGGCCUCAUGCUAUAGGAGCGGCCGAUGUCUGAUUAGCUAGUUGGUGGGGUAAAGGCCUACCAAGGCGACGAUCAGUAGCUGGUCUGAGAGGAAGAUCAGCCACACUGGGACCGAGACACGGCCCAGACUCCUACGGGAGGCAGCAGUGGGGAAUUUUGGACAAUGGGCGAAUGCCUGAUCCAGCAACGCCGCGUGUGUGAAGAAGGCCUUCGGGUUGUAAAGCACUUUUGUCCGGAAAGAAAUGGCUCUGGUUAAUACCUGGGGUCGAUGACGGUACCGGAAGAAUAAGGACCGGCUAACUACGUGCCAGCAGCCGCCGUAA
This 507-nucleotide ribosomal RNA is filed under the name uncultured bacterium. Its description in RNAcentral is "partial 16S ribosomal RNA". It matches the Rfam family "Bacterial small subunit ribosomal RNA", at positions 28 to 523 of the family's 1533-position model. The record is from RNAcentral.